This 484-nucleotide ribosomal RNA is filed under the name uncultured bacterium. RNAcentral's name for it is "partial 16S ribosomal RNA". It matches the Rfam family "Bacterial small subunit ribosomal RNA", at positions 30 to 507 of the family's 1533-position model. The record is from RNAcentral.
AUUGAACGCUGGCGGCAGGCCUAACACAUGCAAGUCGAGCGGAUGAAGGGUGCUUGCUCCUGGAUUCAGCGGCGGACGGGCGAGUAAUGCCUAGGAAUCUGCCUGGUAGUGGGGGAUAACGUCCGGAAACGGGCGCUAAUACCGCAUACGUCCUGAGGGAGAAAGUGGGGGAUCUUCGGACCUCACGCUAUCAGAUGAGCCUAGGUCGGAUUAGCUAGUUGGUGGGGUAAAGGCCUACCAAGGCGACGAUCCGUAACUGGUCUGAGAGGAUGAUCAGUCACACUGGAACUGAGACACGGUCCAGACUCCUACGGGAGGCAGCAGUGGGGAAUAUUGGACAAUGGGCGAAAGCCUGAUCCAGCCAUGCCGCGUGUGUGAAGAAGGUCUUCGGAUUGUAAAGCACUUUUAGUUGGGAGGAAGGGCAGUAAGUUAAUACCUUGCUGUUUUGACGUUACCAACAGAAUAAGCACCGGCUAACUUCGUG